This 202-nucleotide long non-coding RNA is filed under the name Elaeis guineensis (African oil palm). RNAcentral's name for it is "long non-coding RNA (EGUI_LNC056453)". The record is from RNAcentral. Lineage: Eukaryota; Viridiplantae; Streptophyta; Magnoliopsida; Arecales; Arecaceae.
GGUAGGAAAAGGAGUCCUAAAACCUUUAGAAAAUGUAUAAAAUCCUUAGAAAUUUUUCUGGCCAUCGGAUGAAGCUUGGACUGUCCAGAUUUGAUCAAAAAUCAAUAUUUUAAUCCUUAUCAAAGUCAGAUUCAAUAAUAGCCAUCCGAUCGCAUGAUAGAUUGCUUCUAAGCCAUCAGAUCAUGCAGAAGAGUCCUAUUCA